Molecule: ribosomal RNA, 253 nt
Filed under: uncultured bacterium
Lineage: Bacteria
Description: partial 16S ribosomal RNA
Rfam family: Bacterial small subunit ribosomal RNA
Source: RNAcentral
UACAGAGGGGGCAAGCGUUAUUCGGAAUUAUUGGGCGUAAAGGGCGCGUAGGCGGCCUGGCAAGUGGAAGGUGAAAUCCCUCGGCUUAACCGAGGAACUGCCCUCCAAACUGCUUGGCUUGAGUCCGGGAGAGGUGGGUGGAAUUCCCAGUGUAGCGGUGAAAUGCGUAGAUAUUGGGAGGAACACCAGUGGCGAAGGCGGCUCACUGGACCGGAACUGACGCUGAGGCGCGAAAGCGUGGGGAGCAAACGGG